UUGAAAGGGAAACGAUUGAAGUCAGUCGUGCCGGCGCGAAAUCAGCUUGACCGGCGGGAGAUCACGGGCUGUGGCGAGCCUCAAAACCGCCGCAACUUGUGCUCACCUGCCGGCCUCGUGCACUUUCGUGUCGGCUGGUUAACAUCAAUUUCGAUCGUCAUAAAAAGGCUGGAGGGAUGUGGCUCCUUCGGGAGUGUUAUAACCUUUGGCGGAAUGUGGUGGUCGGGAUUGAGGCUUGCAACGAAUACCUCCAGGGCUGUCCCACCUGGCCUCUCGUCGGCAUCCUGGCGACGACAGCUUGCUGACGUUGUUAGGAUCAGCUUUCGAACAGGCUAGAGUGUGAGCAAAUUCGUUAAGGAUGUUGACGUAAGUC
Molecule: ribosomal RNA, 373 nt
Filed under: uncultured Glomeromycotina
Lineage: Eukaryota; Fungi; Glomeromycota
Description: LSU rRNA
Source: RNAcentral